Long non-coding RNA from Cyprinus carpio carpio, 488 nucleotides. The record is from Ensembl. Lineage: Eukaryota; Metazoa; Chordata; Actinopteri; Cypriniformes; Cyprinidae.
CAGAGGUGAAGAAGAAACAAGACAAAAGCAUGCAAAGACAAAGAACAACAUGAAGCAGAGCAGAGCUCACGCUCUCUUUGUGAGCUGGAUCCAGUGUAACAGAAAAUCAGCCUUUUCAUCCCGCCGUCUGAUUGCAGCUCUUGGAGGAGGCUUGAACUGCGCAGACUCAGCGAGGAUUCGUAAGGGUUCUCCAGAGCUGGAGUUGGGAAGCACAGAGGAGGAGCACACACCUCAGCCUUCCAGAACUAGGAGGAACAGGAGACACUAGGAGAAACACAGGAGAUGUUCACUGAUGGACUGGAGUGCUGUGGAUUAUUGUGAUGUUUUAUCAGCUGUUUGGACUCUCAUUCUGACGGCACCCAUUCACUGCAGAGCAUCCACUGCACACCCAUGAGAAGGUUACUGCAAGGGUUCGUCUGACGGAUGUUUUGUGACACUUCAGGUCUCUGUGGAGUGACAGAGAGACGAACACUCGGGACGAGGAAAGA